UAUUAAGGGACCUGAGGACAAGAAGAAGCACCUCAUUAUUGGUGUGUCCUCAGAUCGAGGACUUUGUGGUGAUAUUCAUUCCUCGGUGGUUAAACAAAUGAAGAAUGACAUGGCUGCCCUCACAGCAGCUGGGAAAGAAGUUAUGAUUGUUGGAGUUGGUGAUAAAAAUCAAGAGUAUACUUUAUAGGACUCACUCUGGUGAGUUUCUGGUGUCCUUCAAAGACGUGGGGCGGAAGCCCCUACUUUUGAAGAUGCAUCAGUCAUUGCCUUGGAGUUGUUAAAUUAGAGAUUUGAAUUUGAUGAAGGCUCUGUCAUUUUUAAUCAAUUCAGGUCUGUUAUCUCGUACAAAACAGAAGAGAAGCCCGUCUUCUCUCUCAAUACCAUUGUGGCUGCUGAGAGCAUGAGUAUUUAUAAUGACAUUGAUGCCGACAUGCUGCAGAAUUACCAGGAAUGCAAUCUGGCCAACAUCAUCUGCUACUCCCUGAAGGAGUCCACCACCAGUGAGCAGAGUGCCAGGAUGACCACUGUGGACAAUGCCAGCAAGAACGCCUUUG
RNAcentral lists this long non-coding RNA (554 nucleotides) under Rattus norvegicus (Norway rat). Its description in RNAcentral is "long non-coding RNA NONRATT000179". Lineage: Eukaryota; Metazoa; Chordata; Mammalia; Rodentia; Muridae. The record is from RNAcentral.